AAAUGUACCUAACAAGCCACGCGCACCG
Molecule: small RNA, 28 nt
Filed under: Bombyx mori (domestic silkworm)
Lineage: Eukaryota; Metazoa; Arthropoda; Insecta; Lepidoptera; Bombycidae
Description: ovarian small RNA-10171
Source: RNAcentral